This 253-nucleotide ribosomal RNA is filed under the name uncultured bacterium. Its description in RNAcentral is "partial 16S ribosomal RNA". It matches the Rfam family "Bacterial small subunit ribosomal RNA", at positions 524 to 776 of the family's 1533-position model. The record is from RNAcentral.
UACGGGGGGGGUAAGCGUUGUUCGGAAUUACUGGGCGUAAAGGGUCUGUAGGUGGCUUGCUAAGUCAGACGUGAAAUCCCUCAGCUUAACUGGGGAACUGCGUCUGAGACUGGCGAGCUUGAGUGCAGGAGAGGAACGCGGAAUUCCAGGUGUAGCGGUGAAAUGCGUAGAUAUCUGGAGGAACACCGGUGGCGAAGGCGGCGUCCUGGACCAACACUGACACUGAGGAGCGAAAGCCAGGGGAGCAAACGGG